CUACGGGACGCACCAGUGGGGAAUAUUGGACAAUGGGGGAAACCCUGAUCCAGCAAUGCCGCGUGUGUGAAGAAGGCCUGCGGGUUGUAAAGCACUUUCGGUUGGGAGGACUGCUUCUAGCACUAAUAUUGUUGGAAGUUGACGUUACCUUCAGAAGAAGCACCGGCUAACUCCGUGCCAGCAGCCGCGGUAAUACGGAGGGUGCAAGCGUUAAUCGGAAUUACUGGGCGUAAAGCGCGCGUAGGCGGCUAGAUCAGUCGGGUGUGAAAGCCCCGGGCUUAACCUGGGAACUGCAUCCGAUACUGUCUAGCUGGAGUACAGGAGAGGAGAGUGGAAUUCCACAUGUAGCGGUGAAAUGCGUAGAUAUGUGGAGGAACACCAAUGGCGAAGGCAGCUCUCUGGCCUGAUACUGACGCUGAGGUGCGAAAGCGUGGAGAGCAAACAGGAUUAGAUACCCCCGUAGUC
Molecule: ribosomal RNA, 465 nt
Filed under: uncultured bacterium
Lineage: Bacteria
Description: partial 16S ribosomal RNA
Rfam family: Bacterial small subunit ribosomal RNA
Source: RNAcentral